AUGAAGCUCUUGGCCCUCCGGAUGGCGCAGAUGUACGCGUCCUGGAUGCUCCGGUCGAUGAUCUGGUCCUUGCCGCUCACCAGCCCCGCCUUCGCCGCGUCCUCGGGGUUGUCCGGGAACCCGAAGGCGGCGCCGCCAUCGAUGGACCGGAACAGCUGCACGUUCCACGCCUCCCUGUCCUCGGCGUGCAUCACCGGCGACGGCGGGAUGAUGUCGUCGGCGAGGUCCCUGAGCUGGACGAGCAGGUCCUUGCCGCCCUGCUUGCGCCACCGCUGCUCGAAGUUGUAG
This 288-nucleotide ribosomal RNA is filed under the name Triticum aestivum (bread wheat). Its description in RNAcentral is "partial small subunit ribosomal RNA". The record is from RNAcentral. Lineage: Eukaryota; Viridiplantae; Streptophyta; Magnoliopsida; Poales; Poaceae.